Molecule: ribosomal RNA, 253 nt
Filed under: uncultured bacterium
Lineage: Bacteria
Description: partial 16S ribosomal RNA
Rfam family: Bacterial small subunit ribosomal RNA
Source: RNAcentral
AACGUAGGUGGCAAGCGUUAUCCGGAAUUACUGGGCGUAAAGGGUGUGCAGGCGGGGAAGCAAGGGGGGUAUGAAAUCUCCAGGCUUAACCUGGAGGGGUUAUGCCAGACUGCAUCUCUAGAGGACGAGAGAGGGGGGUGGAAUUCCGGGUGUAGUGGUGAAAUGCGUAGAGAUCCGGAGGAACCCCAGAGGCGAAGGCGGCCCCCUGGCUCGUACCUGACGCUCAGCCACGAAAGCAUGGGGAGCGAACGGG